AGUGAACGCUGGCGGUAGGCCUAACACAUGCAAGUCGAACGGCAGCACAGUAAGAGCUUGCUCUUACGGGUGGCGAGUGGCGGACGGGUGAGGAAUACAUCGUAAUCUACUUUUUCGUGGGGAUAACGUAGGGAAACUUACGCUAAUACCGCAUACGACCUCCGGGUGAAAGCAGGGGAUCUUCGGACCUUGCGCGAUUGAAUGAGCCGAUGUCGGAUUAGCUAGUUGGCGGGGUAAAGGCCCACCAAGGCGACGAUCCGUAGCUGGUCUGAGAGGAUGAUCAGCCACACUGGAACUGAGACACGGUCCAGACUCCUACGAGAGGCAGCAGUGGGGAAUAUUGGACAAUGGGCGCAAGCCUGAUCCAGCCAUACCGCGUGGGUGAAGAAGGCCUUCGGGUUGUAAAGCCCUUUUGUUGGGAAAGAAAAGCAGCAGGUUAAUACCCCGCUGUUCUGACGGUACCCAAAGAAUAAGCACCGGCUAACUUCGUG
This 491-nucleotide ribosomal RNA is filed under the name uncultured bacterium. RNAcentral describes it as "partial 16S ribosomal RNA". It matches the Rfam family "Bacterial small subunit ribosomal RNA", at positions 29 to 507 of the family's 1533-position model. The record is from RNAcentral.